Molecule: transfer RNA, 82 nt
Filed under: Gadus morhua (Atlantic cod)
Lineage: Eukaryota; Metazoa; Chordata; Actinopteri; Gadiformes; Gadidae
Description: tRNA-Leu (TAG) (tRNA-Leu-TAG-7-1)
Rfam family: tRNA
About the family: Transfer RNA (tRNA) molecules are approximately 80 nucleotides in length.
Source: RNAcentral
GGUAGUGUGGCCGAGCGGUCUAAGGCGUUGGAUUUAGGCUCCAGUCUUUUUGGAGGUGUGGGUUCAAAUCCCACCACUGCCA